RNAcentral lists this ribosomal RNA (782 nucleotides) under uncultured bacterium. Its description in RNAcentral is "bacterial SSU rRNA". It matches the Rfam family "Bacterial small subunit ribosomal RNA", at positions 8 to 796 of the family's 1533-position model. The record is from RNAcentral.
AGAGUUUGAUCAUGGCUCAGGACGAACGCUGGCGGCGUGCUUAACACAUGCAAGUCGAACGAUGAACUCCAGCUUGCUGGGGGGAUUAGUGGCGAACGGGUGAGUAACACGUGAGUAACCUGCCCUGGACUCUGGGAUAACCCCGAGAAAUCGGAGCUAAUACCGGAUAGGACCUUGGACCGCAUGGUUUGGGGUGGAAAGUUUUUCGGUCUGGGAUGGACUCGCGGCCUAUCAGCUUGUUGGUGAGGUAAUGGCUCACCAAGGCGUCGACGGGUAGCCGGCCUGAGAGGGUGACCGGCCACACUGGGACUGAGACACGGCCCAGACUCCUACGGGAGGCAGCAGUGGGGAAUAUUGCACAAUGGGCGCAAGCCUGAUGCAGCAACGCCGCGUGCGGGAUGACGGCCUUCGGGUUGUAAACCGCUUUUAGUAAGGAAGAAGGGGAGCUUGCUCCUUGACGGUACUUGCAGAAAAAGGACCGGCUAACUACGUGCCAGCAGCCGCGGUAAUACGUAGGGUCCGAGCGUUGUCCGGAAUUAUUGGGCGUAAAGAGCUCGUAGGCGGUUUGUCGCGUCUGCUGUGAAAUCCCGAGGCUCAACCUCGGGCCUGCAGUGGGUACGGGCAGACUGGAGUGCGGUAGGGGAGAAUGGAAUUCCUGGUGUAGCGGUGGAAUGCGCAGAUAUCAGGAGGAACACCGAUGGCGAAGGCAGUUCUCUGGGCCGUAACUGACGCUGAGGAGCGAAAGCGUGGGGAGCGAACAGGAUUAGAUACCCUAGUAGUCC